CACCAUCACAGUGCUACGCAGAAUCCUCACCAGACGCAGCUGCUGAGAGUCGCCGAACUGAGGAGGUGAACGACAAAAUAAAGGAGGAGGAGACGAAGAGAAAAGAGGAGGAAGGAGAAAAAUUAGGACAAAAGGGUGUUCAAAAGCAGAGAGGACGGCCCUCCAUUGGUGGGGCAAUCAGGAAGCAGAUUUCACACAUCUGAUCACAGCAGCCACAGUCACUUUACCUGGUUUCCGAGGAAGAACUACAAUAAAUCCAGAAGACACGGAGCACGGGAACACAAGGAGAAAGAAACAGAGCAAGAGUGAAACAACAUAUACUGAUAACUGAGGUCUGUAAGAAUUAGUGGUGUAAGCAAAAAAAAGACACGGUGGACACGGAUGGCUGUGGAUGUUAUGGCAGCGAUGAUGGUAAGAUGGAGGUGAAGACAGAGAAGAAAAGUGAAGCCAGACACAAACAUGAGCCAGAAGACAAACACAAGACAGACAAAAACAAACUGGUGUACUAUUAGUAUCCCCAGUGUCCUGCAGUCAGACACUAGAUAUCAUUACCCAGUGAGUAAUGAUGGCGUGGACACAUACUGUAGCAGUGGUAGUGAUGCGUGAUCCAGUAAGUGCUGCUGAAAGCUGUCAGAACUGUGUUUAUGACCGUUGUAAAAUACUGCAUAUUUACACACAGACUGCUGGGUUAGGAAUGUUUAUAACCGCUGCAACUCCUGAAGGUUUUAAACAACUUUAAUAAUCCUGCAAAGUGACGAAUUAAAACCUACUUCAGUAGUAUCUUAUGAUGAUUUGUAACAUUUUGUUAGUAUUUUUGUAGGCUUCAUUUCUGCCAUGUUGUAUCUUAAAUUCAGUCUCUAUAUUAUCAAGUCAUCAUCAUCAGCAGUUGUUAUUUGACAGAUUUUAUAACAAGAGACACUGUCAGGUCGUAGAUAUUUUUGCAAAAAUAAUGACAUUUUACUCUCUAACUUCAAGACCAUUAAUUAAUUUCAGUCUUUGUCAUUAUUUAUCCUUUCUGGUGACGAAAACGUGAACAAAUAACUGAAUGUGAGCAUCAUUCCAGAGUCAUUCAUUACCUGAGUAUGUUGAUAUUAUCAGUUUAGUUUGAAUUAAAGUACUUUAAACUCAUUAAGUCUUCCUCUUUGACAGCCAGCAGCACAGUGUGCCUCUAUGCAGUCACAUUUACAUGGUUAUAUUAAUGUUUUUGGUGAUGAAAAAGAAGGCUCAGCUGACGAUCCUGGAGGCCUGUGAGAUGUUACAUCAAUGCUUCCAUGACAUGUGAUGACAUGUUAUGAUACAGACAGUUAACACACUUAUAAAUACAUCAUGAGGGUCAUGAUGUGAGAUGGAAGUGAAGUUAAUUGGUGCCUGCUGGACAAGUGAAGACACAGCCAGUUAAUAAUAAACCGUCCAUUAAUGAAAACUGGGUCAAACAGUAUUUGCAAAGUAAAGGAAAGUUUGUAUUUGGUUUAUGUUGCUUCACACUGACUUACUAAAAGUAGAGAACAAAAUCUAUGGACAUUAUUGAUCAGGAAUUAAAUUUUAGCCACAAAAUAGUCAAACUCUUGACUUUGGUUUGAAAUGUAGUGUUUAAAACAUAGGUUUAGGUGAUGUACUGUUGACUUAAGUGUCAAUCACAGCAAACUACACUAAAUUACUAUUGUAUGUGAUGACUCUUGGUGUAAGAAAUAGGUAACAAUCAUUUGCAAAUCCUCUUUGACCCAGUUCUUCUGACAAGUAGACAUCCACAAUAUGCAAUCAACAUUAACUUUCUUUUUCUUAACAAUAUCUUAAAUACACAUUACAGUGUUUUCUACAAAUAAUGUCUUUGUUAAACUCAACAAAAGACGGAGCUGA
Molecule: long non-coding RNA, 1857 nt
Organism: Acanthopagrus latus (yellowfin seabream)
Lineage: Eukaryota; Metazoa; Chordata; Actinopteri; Spariformes; Sparidae
Exons: 3
Source: RefSeq, a predicted model, not a curated record